Galleria mellonella (greater wax moth) is the source of this 928-nucleotide long non-coding RNA. RefSeq lists it as uncharacterized. The transcript is spliced from 3 exons. The record is from RefSeq and is a predicted model, not a curated record. NCBI's taxonomy places the organism in Eukaryota, Metazoa, Arthropoda, Insecta, Lepidoptera, Pyralidae.
CAUUAUAUACUUAUUUAUGUUCAACAGUGUACUUAUAAAAAAUAGCUCUCUUCCAGUAGAGAUAGGUGAAAUAAAAUUCCAAUCUUACUCUCUUUUGGCAAACACUGGUAAGGACAAACUGAACUGGCUAAAAAAAAAAUACUUACGGAUACAACAGGAUUUACGUUUUUAAUUCACAAUAGUAAUGUACGUUACAGACAGGUUGUCAAUUUGCUCGACAGUGUAGCAGGUGAGUCACAAGGGGCCGGUGCAUACUCAAAUGAAAUUAUUCGCCAUUGGACGAUAAGCCGAUUUCGCCUAACCUCGUUCAAUCAGAGCUUCGAGUCUCGCUGCACUGGCGUAGAUUUGUGGCUCGACAGAUACGGCUUGCUUUUGAAAAAUGCACCAUAUUUCAUACAUAAAAACUGUGAGCUGGUGAUAAAGUUUCAUAUGAUUGAAGUCGACAGUUCAUCUGAUUAUGAUGAUUUGAACGUGCCACGCUGUCGGUUAAUGGAUGAAUAAUACUUACUCCCGGUCCCGACCAUAAUGGAAUCUUGAAUACACUUCAGAAUUCACAUUAUUAUGACAUCUCGAGUGUUUCACGACAGUUCUCGAACUUCAGACAGUACCUAAUAAGCUUACAAUAACAUUUAUUGCGAAUCAGAAUAAUCAUGGGAGUCACGUCCAGCUUUCAUUUGCGGUGUACCUACUCGUGUACCGGUCUAUUGGUUCAAGUCCAGGGUCGGGCAAGUGCUCUCGUUACCGGCUCAGCAUUUGCGGUUCGAACCACUCAUUCAAAUGAGCUGGGGUAGUUUACCCGCUGUAUGUAUAUUAAUAUAGCAAGAACUGGGAAUUUACUUCCAAUACAUUUUCACUGAAAAGUAUCAGUAAUAACCUAUGUUCUAUUUAGAAUUGCGAAAAAAGAUGAAAUGUUUUAAAUUUUAUGUGA